This 220-nucleotide ribosomal RNA is filed under the name uncultured bacterium. Its description in RNAcentral is "partial 16S ribosomal RNA". It matches the Rfam family "Bacterial small subunit ribosomal RNA", at positions 15 to 219 of the family's 1533-position model. The record is from RNAcentral.
GAUCCUGGCUCAGGAUGAACGCUGGCGGCGUGCUUAACACAUGCAAGUCGAGCGAAGCACUUAUGAAGAUUCUUCGGAUGAUUCAUUUGUGACUGAGCGGCGGACGGGUGAGUAACGCGUGAGUAACCUGCCUCAUACAGGGGAAUAACAGUUAGAAAUGACUGCUAAUGCCGCAUAAGCGCACAGGACCACAUGGUCUGGUGUGAAAAACUCCGGUGGU